AGAACGAACGCUGGCGGCAUGCCUAAUACAUGCAAGUCGAACGAACUCUUCGGAGUUAGUGGCGCACGGGUGCGUAACGCGUGGGAAUCUGCCCCUUGGUUCGGAAUAACAGUUGGAAACGACUGCUAAUACCGGAUGAUGACGAAAGUCCAAAGAUUUAUCGCCAAGGGAUGAGCCCGCGUAGGAUUAGCUAGUUGGUGAGGUAAAGGCUCACCAAGGCAACGAUCCUUAGCUGGUCUGAGAGGAUGAUCAGCCACACUGGGACUGAGACACGGCCCAGACCUCUACGGGAGGCAGCAGUAGGGAAUAUUGGACAAUGGG
Molecule: ribosomal RNA, 321 nt
Filed under: uncultured soil bacterium
Lineage: Bacteria
Description: bacterial SSU rRNA
Rfam family: Bacterial small subunit ribosomal RNA
Source: RNAcentral